UAUUUUUUUCUUCAAUCUCCUGAGGGAAAUUUACCCAUGAUUCCACAGUUUUUCCCAGGAUACACUUCUGCAAAGCCCCUCCUAUCUCCUCACUCCCAGGUUUGAGACUACAGGGAGAAGGAGCCAUUUUACAGUCAGCUCUGUGGAAUCGUUUUUUUAGGAAAAUUCCUGCGUUUUAAAACACAUUCCUAUUUUUGUACUGACUACAAUGAUGGAGCCUUUUUCUGACCAGAUUGUGAUGUUCAUGCUGGCUGCAAGCAUGAUGGAGGAAGAAAGUGCUGAUGAACAUCAGGAUCCAGGUCAGCAAAUGUCUGCAUUGGGUGAGCCAGUAUUGCGGGUUUCAUUUCCACGUCCACGCCAGUAUCGCACUAGGCGUGAACUGGAGGAUCUCAGCGAGUUCGAGGUGAUACAAAAUUAUCGCUUAUCGACUCGCGACAUAUAUUCGCUGUACGCUCUGUUGGAGGCCGACUUGGAACCUCGGGCACGGACAAAUCGUGCAAUCAGCGGUUUUCAGAAACUGCUGGGGACGUUACAUUUUUUGGCGUCCGGCACAUUCCAGCCUACACUGUCUCAAACAUGCGGUUUUUCACAGUCGACACUGUCGCGCUGUAUAACCCAGGUCAUUAGGGCUUUCCGCAAAUUGACGAUCCAGUACAUCACAUUUCCAGAGACGGACAGCGAAUGUCGUGAGAUCAAAUUAGGCUUUUUCAACAAAUACAAAUUUCCCAAUGUGCUGGGCGCGAUUGACUGUACCCACGUGCAGAUCAGACCGCCACGGAAUUCAGAGGAAUGUUUUCGGAACUGAAAACAGUUCCAUUCCCUGAACGUGCAGGCGGUCUGUGAUGUAAACAUGAGAUUUUUGAACAUUUUUGUGGGAUUUCCUGGAUCAUCUCACGACUCCUUCAUCCUAAGCCAGUCAUCGCUGUUUGACAAGUUUGAAACUGGAAACAUGCCUGGUGGCUGGCUGUUAGGCGAUGCGGGUUAUCCAAACAAACCGUGGCUGUUGACCCCAUUGUCUAAUCCUGUUGGUAGAGCAGAAAAACGUUACCAAGAGACACACAUUGCAUCGAGGGGAGUAAUUGAGCGUGCCUUCGGUGUACUUAAAAGCCGGUUUCGAUGUUUAGACACUUCCGGCGGUGCUCUUUUGUACUCACCGUCGAAGGUUUGCGGCAUGGUAAAUGCAUGUUGUAUUUUACACAACAUAUGUGUCGCAAACCGUUUGCCGGUGACUCUUCGUCGCAGUGCUUUCCGACGCGGGAACCGGUCUUCUGCUCUACCGGUGGGUAUGGACGAAGGAGAGGAUUCCCGGCGGACAUUGAUCCAAAAUUAUUUUGCAGUUGCCUAGUUUUACAUCCUGUUGAUGUAUAUCCCCAGGCCAUGUUUGUACAGUUCGUUACCCCGUUUUAUCCUGUUGUUGGGUUCCCGCAAAUAUUUGAUCCUUUUAUCCAACUCUACCAUGGGUGAACCUACUGGUGAUGUGGACCUGACCCUCCGCCAUGUAGCAGACAAACCCCCCCUCAGGUGAGAUGUAU
Molecule: long non-coding RNA, 1532 nt
Organism: Pseudophryne corroboree (corroboree frog)
Lineage: Eukaryota; Metazoa; Chordata; Amphibia; Anura; Myobatrachidae
Exons: 3
Source: RefSeq, a predicted model, not a curated record